CCGGAAUAGCUCAGUCGGUAGAGCAGAGGACUGAAAAUCCUCGUGUCACUAGUUCAA
Molecule: transfer RNA, 57 nt
Filed under: Garovaglia subelegans
Lineage: Eukaryota; Viridiplantae; Streptophyta; Bryopsida; Ptychomniales; Ptychomniaceae
Description: partial tRNA-Phe
Rfam family: tRNA
About the family: Transfer RNA (tRNA) molecules are approximately 80 nucleotides in length. Their secondary structure includes four short double-helical elements and three loops (D, anti-codon, and T loops). Further hydrogen bonds mediate the characteristic L-shaped molecular structure. tRNAs have two regions of fundamental functional importance: the anti-codon, which is responsible for specific mRNA codon recognition, and the 3' end, to which the tRNAs corresponding amino acid is attached (by aminoacyl-tRNA synthetases). tRNAs cope with the degeneracy of the genetic code in two manners: having more than one tRNA (with a specific anti-codon) for a particular amino acid; and 'wobble' base-pairing, i.e. permitting non-standard base-pairing at the 3rd anti-codon position.
Source: RNAcentral